GGGGAAUUUUCCGCAAUGGGCGAAAGCCUGGCGGAGCAAGACCGCGUGGGGGAUGAAGGUUUGUGGAUUGUAAACCCCUUUUGAUUGGGAAGAAUACUGACGGUACCAAUCGAAUAAGCCUCGGCUAACUCCGUGCCAGCAGCCGCGGUAAUACGGAGGAGGCAAGCGUUAUCCGGAAUUAUUGGGCGUAAAGCGUCCAUAGGUGGUUUAGUAAGUCUGCUGUUAAAGCGCGGGGCUUAACUCCGUAUCGGCAGUGGAAACUACUAGACUAGAGUGUGGUAGGGGUAGAGGGAAUUCCCAGUGUAGCGGUGAAAUGCGUAGAUAUUGGGAAGAACACCGGUGGCGAAAGCGCUCUACUGGGCCAUAACUGACACUGAUGGACGAAAGCUAGGGGAGCGAAUGGGAUUAGAUACCCCAGNUAGUC
Molecule: ribosomal RNA, 424 nt
Filed under: uncultured cyanobacterium
Lineage: Bacteria; Bacillati; Cyanobacteriota
Description: bacterial SSU rRNA
Rfam family: Bacterial small subunit ribosomal RNA
Source: RNAcentral